UCCUGGCUCAGAACGAACGCGCGCGGCGUGGAUUAGGUAUGCAAGUCGAACGGGAACUAUACGACUGAUCCUUCGGGUGAAGAUGUAUACGGAACGUGGCGAAAGGGUGAGUAACGAAUGGAUGACCUACCCUCGAGCCCGGGAUAAUCUUCCGAAAGGUAGGGUAAUACCGGAUGGUACAGCUUGGUUACGGCCUUGCUGUUAAAGGAUGCUUCGGCAUUCACUCGAGGAGGGGUUCAUUUCCUAUUAGCUUGUUGGUGAGGUAACGGCUCACCAAUGCAAAGAUGGGUAGGGGGCCUUAGCGGGUGACCCUCCACACUGGGACUGAGACACUGCCCAGGUUCCUACGGGAGGCUGCAAUCGAGAAUCCUCCGCAAUGGACGAAAGUCUGACGGGGUGACGCCGCGUGAGUGAUGAAGUGCCUUUCAGGUUGUAAAACUCUAACAGGGAGUAUGAAAUUCAUCGGGUCCAAUAGGCCCGGUGAUUGACGUCAAUCCCAGAUGAAGUCACGGCUAAAUAUGUGCCAGCAGCCGCGGUAACACAUAUGUGGCAAGCGUUGUUCGGAAUUACUGGGCUUAAAGCGCACGUAGGUGGUGCAGUCAGUCAAUUUGUGAAAUCCCCCGGCUUAACCGGGGAAUCGCGGUUGAUACUGCUGUGCUGGAGUUCGGAAGGGGAGACUGGAACUCUGGGUGUAGCGGUGGAAUGCGAAGAUAUCCAGGGGAAGUGCCGGUAGCGAAAGCGAGUCUCUGGUCCGAUACUGACACUGAGGUGCGAAAGCGUAGGUAGCGAACGGGAUUAGAUACCCCGGUAGUCUACGCCGUAAACGAUGGGCACUAGGUGGUGGGAACGCCGAUAGUUCUCUCCGCCGAAGCAAAAGCGUUAAGUGCCCCGCCUGGGGAGUAUGGUCGCAAGAUUAAAACUCAAAGGAAUUGACGGGGGCCCACACAAGCGGUGGAGGAUGCGGCUUAAUUCGAGGACACGCGUAGAACCUUACCGAGGCUUGACAUGCAGGGAUUAACCAGGUGAAAACCUGGGGAUUGCCUUACGGUGUAACCUGCACAGGUGCUGCAUGGCUGUCGACAGCUCGUGUCGUGAGAUGUUAGGUUAAGUCCUGUAACGAGCGAAACCCCUGUGCUUAAUUGCCAGCGCGUUAUGGCGGGGACUUUAAGCAGACUGCCCCGGCCAACGGGGAGGAAGGUGGGGAUGACGUCAAGUCAGCAUGGCCCUUAUGCCUCGGGCUGCACGCGUCCUACAAUGGGCAGUACAAUGAGUACCGAUCCCGCAAGGGGGAGGAAAUCUCGAAAGCUGUCCUCAGUUCGGAUUGCAGGCUGAAACUCGCCUGCAUGAAGGUGGAAUCGCUAGUAAUCGCCGGUCAGCUAUACGGCGGUGAUACGUCCCUGGGCCUUGUACACACCGCCCGUCAAGCCACCCGAGUUG
RNAcentral lists this ribosomal RNA (1437 nucleotides) under uncultured organism. RNAcentral's name for it is "16S ribosomal RNA". It matches the Rfam family "Bacterial small subunit ribosomal RNA". The record is from RNAcentral.